UCGAAGCCUGCACAGCAGAACGACCCGUGAACAUGUAAUGACAAUCGGCAUCAGGGUGAUUAGGUAUGAGCCUGGGAGCCAUGAUGCUUUGUUGGUGUGCGCACACCGGGUCACUUUGUGGCCUUGUGGAUGUUAUGCCGACACAAAAACAAACCCCGGCACGGCAUGUGCCAAGGAAAACAAAACAUAAGAAGGGUGCACCCGUGUUGCUCCGUUCGCGGUAUGYGCACGGGUCGUGGCCUCUUUGAAACCA
Molecule: unclassified non-coding RNA, 253 nt
Filed under: Echinops spinosissimus subsp. neumayeri
Lineage: Eukaryota; Viridiplantae; Streptophyta; Magnoliopsida; Asterales; Asteraceae
Description: internal transcriber spacer 1
Source: RNAcentral